Molecule: long non-coding RNA, 545 nt
Filed under: Homo sapiens (human)
Lineage: Eukaryota; Metazoa; Chordata; Mammalia; Primates; Hominidae
Description: novel transcript
Source: RNAcentral
AGGUGCGCUUCCUGGAGCAGCAGAACAAACUGCUGGAGACCAAGCUGCAGUUCUACCAGAACCGCGAGUGCUGCGAGAGCAACCUGGAGCCCCUGUUGCAGGGCUACAUGGCGACUCUGCGGCGGGAGGCUGAGUGCGUGGAGGCCGACAGUGGCAGGCUGGCCUCAGAGCUCAACUGCACGCAGGAGGCGCUGGAGGGCUACAAGAAGAAGUAUGAAGAAGAGCUGGCCCUCAGGGCCACAGCUGAGAAUGAGUUCAUGAUGCUGAAGAAGGAUGUAGGCUACACCUAUCUGCACGAGACGGACCUGGAGGCCAACGUGAGCCGCUGAAGGAGGAGUCAGUCUUCCUGCAGUCCCUCUACGGGGAGGAAAUCUGCCUCCUUCAAUCACAAAUCUCUGACACCUCCAUGGUGGUGAAGAUGGACAACAGCUGGGAGCUCAACAUGGACUUGGUUGUGGCUUAGAUCAAGGCUCAGUAUGAUGAUAUUGCCAGCUGCAGCCGGGUGGAGGCUGAGACCUGAUACCAAACCAAGGUAGUCUGGAGGG